Molecule: long non-coding RNA, 4025 nt
Filed under: Xyrichtys novacula (pearly razorfish)
Lineage: Eukaryota; Metazoa; Chordata; Actinopteri; Labriformes; Labridae
Source: RNAcentral
UGUGAUGUACAGAGACAAGGAAAUGUAUCUCCAAGCCCUCUGACCAAAUAAAGAACUCAAUUUCACCAUAUCAGCAAAAACACAGACUUUUUAUCAUGAAGGCUCGGCUGUGCGGCUCUGUGCGUAAAAGACAAAGCACACUGUCAGCUAAUGCCCCUUUAACCCUCUCACUAAUAGGAAUGCCCCCUGAAGAUCAGGAAAAUACAUCCUAACCUUCUACCUGAGACGCAGACACUUUCUCCAGGUAGCAAUGCGCCUUUGCAUGCCACCACCACAUCCAUGGACACUAAUGUAAGUGGAAGAUCACUGUGGUGAGACGCCUCUUCUUCCUGUUUUAUUUUGGUUUAACUUCCCAUUUUCCUUGUGUUCCUGGUCUGGUUUGACUGUUCUUUCAGUGCACUUUCCCUUUACCCGGUCGCUGAGGCUAAGUGAGACUCCACACCUGCACUGCAUCUGCAAUCAAGGCCCUUUAAGAAGCCAGCAACCCUCAGUCUCAGUGCCUGAGUAUUGUUUUCACUCCUCAGUGGUACAGACGCUUCUCCCGGCCUUCUCCUCGGCUAAGUACUAGUAAUGUAUGCCUUCUCACUUCCAUCUCCUCUGUUUUCUCCAGUGUCUCCAGCCCACACAACAGCCAGCCAGCCAACCGGACUUUUUCUUGUGCCUUUUCCCUUAAGUUGGACAUUAAAAUUACAUCUUUAAUUUACUAUCUGUCUCUGUGUCUGCUUCUGAGUCCACAAAAGACACCACACGCCACAGAAUACUCGGGCCAGGAAAAUGGACCCAGCAGACCCAGACAGAGACCAACAAGCCAUCCAAAAGCUCAGACUUCGCCUCGGUCAACAUGAGGACAUGCUCCAGGGCCUCAACCAAGCCUUUCAAGGCCUCACCGUUCAAGUAACGCAACUGGCGGAUCAACUCCUCUCCCGGCUCCCCCCGAAGCAGUCUGGGUCUUCCCCCUCUGUGAGUAUGGCCCCCACUUCACCCUCUCCUGUCUUCAAAGAGCCUUAUGUCCCUCAUCCCGAGCCGUAUGCUGGGGAGAUUGGGGGCUGCAGAGGUUUCCUGCUCCACUGUGCCCUUGUCUUUGAUCAGCAGCCUAUUAGUUACCCCUCGGAUAAAUCCAAAAUAGCCUACAAUGUCAAUCUCUCGGUCUGUGGCGGAAUUCUCUAUUGAGUUCUGCACAGAGUGGAAGUGGGCCGAGAGUGGGUUGGGGGAACUAGAAUUAAAGGGUGCAUUUUCUCGUGGUCUGUCCAAACAGUUAAAGGACGAAUUAGCUGCUCGUGAUGAUCCAUCCUCACUUGAGGAGUUAAUUUCAUUAGCCAUACAUGUGGAUAAUCGCCUCAGGGAGAGACGUAGGGAGAAGAAACUAAACACUCCUCCCCAUAGUUUAGAUUCCUCAUCCUCCACUUUCAGCGGGUCUCCUCUGCAGCCCUCAGCUCCUCUGGCUCUGGCGCCCUCACCCGUAAGGUCACCGCUCUCGAUGGCAGAGUUAUAGCCACCAUAACCCACUGCACUACUCCUCUCACUCUCAUCCUUUCGGGAAACCAUCAUGAGGAUAUCCAGUUGUUCCUGCUUCCCUCUUGGACUCCCGUGGCUGCAGAUCCAUAAUCCCCAAAUCAACUGGUCCACAGCUUCAAUCUCCGCCUGGAGUCCUCACUGCCACUCUCAUUGCCUCCGCUCCGCCCCUGUGCUCAAACACCCAGAUCCCUCUCUCCAAUUCGUGGUGGAGGUCGACGCCUCGGACUCUGGAGUGGGGGUCGUCCUCUCACAGGGGGAUCCCGAGACCCAGAUGCUCCAUCCUUGUGCCUACUUUUCCCGGAAAUUCUCACCCACCAAACGAAAAUAUGAUGUUGAAGACCGUGAGUUGCUGGUUGUUGUGUGGGCACUCCAAGAAUAGAGACACUGGCUGGAAGAAGCACAACACCCAUUCCUCAUCUGGACUGACCUCAAGAACCUUCAGUACCUCCGUUCCGCUUGACGCCUCAACUCCAGACAAGCCCGCUGGUCCCUCUUCCUCCACAGAUUCACCUUUACCCUCUCCUAUCGUCCCGACUCCCGACUCCCGCAACCUCAAACCUGAUGCCCUAUCCCGAAUCUACUCCUCUGCUACCUUGGACCCCAGAGAACUGGACACCAUCCUCCCUGCCUCCUGUAUCAUCGCCUCUUGGGAGAUCGACACCGUAGUGGACAAGGCCCUACGGAAGCACCCGGACCCUGGAACUGGCCCUCCUGAUAGGAAGUACGUCCCUGAGGUUGUACAUUCUCAGGUCCUACAGUGGGGGCACUCCUCUUAACUCACCUGUCAUCCCGGAUUUCAACGCACCCUCCAAUUCCUUUAGCAGCAGUUCUGGUGGCCGGGGAUGGUCCGGGACAUACAGGUGUUUGUGGCUGCCUGCUCCGUCUGAGGCAAAGCCUCCCACCAACCCCCAGCUGGCUUGCUGCAUCCUCUGCUUGUGCCCUCACACCCUUGGUCUCAUAUAGCUCUAGAUUUCGUCACUGGUCUCCCCCCUUCUGAAGGUAACACAGUUCUACUCACCAUCAUAGACAGGAUUUCCAAGUUCGUGCAUUCUGUCCCGCUACCCAAGCUCCCCUCUGCUCUAGAAACUGCUAAUCUCAUAGUGUCUCAUGUGUUCCAACUUCAUGGUAUCCCCCUUGACAUAGUGUCGGAUUGUGGUCCCCAGUUCUCCUCCCAGGUCUGGAAAGCUUUCUGCCAGGCGGUGGGCGCGGCAGCUAGCCUCUACUCAGGCUACCAACCGCAGACCAAUGGCCAGACGGAGUGGGCCAAUCAAAACCUCGAGUCGACUUCGCGGUGUGUUGUGGCCCAUCAUCCAGCAUCCUGGAGUACACACCUCCCACGGAUCUAGUACGCCCAUAACUCCCUCACCUCCUCGGCCACAGGUAUGUCUCCCUUCAUGUUCUGUUAAAGGUACCAGCCCCCCCGUUUACCGAACAGGAGCAACCGGGUGCUGUCCUGUCAGUGAGGGAGCACAUUGGGCGCCAACGGGAGGUGUGGGGAUCCGCCGAGGCCGCACUCACCCGGACGGCCGAGCGCAACAAACGCCUGGCUGACGUCCAUCGCUCCCCUGCACCAGACUAUCGUCCAGGUCAGAUGGUCUGGUUAUCAUCCCGUGACCUUCCCCUGCAGACCGAGUCCCGCAAGCUGUCUCCCCGCUUCAUUGGUCCCUUCCCAAUCCAGGAGAUUAUUAGCCCCUCGGCGGUACGACUCAAACUUCCCUCAGCUCUCAAAAUUCACCCCGCGUUUCAUGUCUCCCUGAUCAAGCCUGUCACCUCGUGCACCCUGAGCCCUCUUUCCGCAACCCUCCACCGCCCUGGAUGAUUGACGACCACCCUGCCUUCACUGUGAGACAAAUCCUAGACAUGCGGCCUCAAGGACAAGGCUUCCAUACCUCGUGGAUUGGGAGGGUUACGGUCCGGAGGAGCGGUCCUGGAUCUCCUGCUCCCUCAUCCUGGACCAUCAACUCCUCAACAACUUUUACGCCGCUCACCCCAACAAACCCGGCAGAACACCAAGGGGCGUUCGUUGAGAGGGGGGUACUGUAGUGAGAUGCCUCUUCUUCCUGUUUUAUUUUGGUUUAACUUCCCAUUUUCCUUGUGUUCCUGGUCUGGCUUGACUGUUGUUUCAGUGCACUUUCCCGUCCCCUGGUCGCUGAGGCUGAGUGGGACUCCACACCUGCACUGCAUCUGCAAUCAAGGCCCUUUUAAGAAGCCAGCAGCCCUCAGUCUCAGUGCCUGAGUAUUGUCUUCACUCCUCAGUGGUACAGACGCUUCUCCCGGCCUUCUCCUCGGCGAAGUGCUAGUAAUUUUUGCUCCAUGUAAUUCCUUGUAUGCCUUCUCACUUCCAUCUCCUCUGUUUUCUCCACAGUGUCUCCAGCCCACACAACAGCCAGCCAGCCAACCGGACUUUUUCUUGUGCCUUUUCCCUUAAGUUGGACAUUAGAACUACAUCUUUAAUUUACAAUCUGUCUCCGUGUCUGCUUCUGGGUCCACAAAAGACACCACACGCCACA